This 253-nucleotide ribosomal RNA is filed under the name uncultured bacterium. Its description in RNAcentral is "partial 16S ribosomal RNA". It matches the Rfam family "Bacterial small subunit ribosomal RNA", at positions 524 to 776 of the family's 1533-position model. The record is from RNAcentral.
UACGUAGGGGGCUAGCGUUGUCCGGAUUUAUUGGGCGUAAAGAGCGUGUAGGCGGCCAGGUAGGUCUGCUGUGAAAACUCGAGGCUCAACCUCGAGACGUCGGCGGAAACCAUCUGGCUAGAGUCCGGAAGAGGAGAGUGGAAUUCCUGGUGUAGCGGUGAAAUGCGCAGAUAUCAGGAGGAACACCUGCGGUGUAGACGGCUUACUGGACCAUAACUGACGCUGAGGCACGAAAGCGUGGGUAGCAAACAGG